GCGCGUUCAUGAGUACCCUACACGUUCACGUUUGGCAGCUCCACGUCGACAUUCCUUUAGCGACGGGAGAGAGGGGGUCCAGCGAUACAUUCAGUCUGUUUCGAGGCACAGCCAGGAGAGCCACCGGUCAACCGUAAGGAGCCUCAGAAGCUGAUUGGUCCUGAGUGGGCUACCAUCUCAACCAAGGCAACUGCAAGCAAACUGACUGAAGCCCGAAUGACGGCUGUAAACGUCUGACACGUUUUAAAGACAAUUCUACAAUUCAAAAACACGAAAAUGUAUUCACAGGCUUCCUCCGCCAAAGUCGCAUUCCCACACAUGCACAUAUGGACACACUUACACAGAGAAACACACACACUCAACCAUGGCUCCUCGGGGAAAGUUCUGUGGUCCACUCUGGCUGUGUGAGUGUGUGGUCAGUGCAUUACAGAACUUUGCUUUAGAAGCUCCACCCGUCAAAUCCGUAUUGAUCCCUGAGAAAAUAAAGGCUUGGUUUUAUGAGUUUCAUGACUGGUUUGAAGUAUAUACUGUAAAAUGGAAUUAUAUGUUUUUUGUUAAUCUAAUUUUGUUAGUAUUUUAGAUGUUGACUUCAGAUGAACUUUUCAGAUCUGUUAACCGAAUUCCUCUACUCCUACUGGUAUUCAUAGAAAUAUAUAAUGAUUAUGUAGGCUAUAUUUAGAAAUUGAAAACAGCAUAAUGAAAAAUAUACAAAAAUGAGAUGGAGUUAUUAAAAUGAACAAUAGAAUUUUUUGAUGAUAUAAUAAUUCAAAUUACCUCCAUGGUUAACAGCUUGCAGAUUUUGGAACUUACUAAAUCUUCUAAUGUUUUGAACAAAGUGUUUUUGUUUUUCUUCUUUACCCUGUCAAGCAUAUUUCACAAGUGUGAAAGUAUACCAUUUUGUAUUCUUGGCAUGUAAAUUCUGUUGGAACUCACAAUGGUUUAUAUUGCUAAGUGCUGCUGGAACAAAACCGUUUACGGAAAGUUAUACUUGUGUGAGUGUAUUUUAUUUGAAGAAGCCAGUCAGUCUCUCAUUGUUGAAUGCAUGGCGCAUAAUGUAUUUAAGAGUGGCUAAACUCUCACUGUUUUACUCUAUUCUGCUGACUAUUAGUGUUAUUUUUUGAAGCUCUAAAAGGGAUAGUUCACCCAAAAAUGAUAAUUCUGUCAUCGUUUCCUCCGCCUCAAGUAGUUCCAAAACUGUAUAAAUUUCUUUGUUCUGCUGAACACAAAGGAAGAUAUUUGGAAGAAUGUUUGUAACCAAGUGGAUAUCAUCCACCAUUGACUACCAUAACAGGGGAAAAAAAUAAUAAUACUAUGGAAGUCAAUGACUACCGUCAAAUGUCUGGUUACCAACAUUCUUCCAAAUAUCUCCUUUUGUGUUCAACAGCUCAAAUGAUGACAGAAUUUUCAUUUUUGAGUGAAUUAUCCCUUUAAGUGACAUAAAAAGUUGCAGUUAUUAAGUAUUUUGCAUUUUAUCCAGUAUGUCAUAUUUGGAUGCAAAAUUCACUAACAACCAAUAAACAUCAUUUUGUAAUUUCAACAA
This is a long non-coding RNA of Megalobrama amblycephala (Wuchang bream), 1540 nucleotides long. RefSeq lists it as uncharacterized. The record is from RefSeq and is a predicted model, not a curated record. The transcript has 2 exons. NCBI's taxonomy places the organism in Eukaryota, Metazoa, Chordata, Actinopteri, Cypriniformes, Xenocyprididae.